GGGGAUGUAGCUUAUUGGUAGAGUGCUUGACUAACAUGUGCAAGGUCCUGGGUUCAAUCCCCAGCACUGCUA
RNAcentral lists this transfer RNA (72 nucleotides) under Marmota monax (woodchuck). It matches the Rfam family "tRNA". From Rfam's summary of the family: Transfer RNA (tRNA) molecules are approximately 80 nucleotides in length. Their secondary structure includes four short double-helical elements and three loops (D, anti-codon, and T loops). The record is from Rfam by way of RNAcentral. Lineage: Eukaryota; Metazoa; Chordata; Mammalia; Rodentia; Sciuridae. RNAcentral also lists the same sequence under 3 other names.